GACGAGCCACACGAACGUUAUUCGGAAUUACUGGGCUUAAAGGGUGCGUAGGCGGCGCGAUAAGUUGGGUGUGAAAUACCUCGGCUCAACCGAGGAACUGCGCCCAAAACUAUCGUGCUCGAGGAAGAUAGAGGUGAGCGGAACUUACGGUGGAGCGGUGAAAUGCGUUGAUAUCGUAAGGAACACCCGUGGCGAAAGCGGCUCACUGGGUCUUCUCUGACGCUGAUGCACGAAAGCUAGGGGAGCAAACGGG
This 253-nucleotide ribosomal RNA is filed under the name uncultured bacterium. Its description in RNAcentral is "partial 16S ribosomal RNA". It matches the Rfam family "Bacterial small subunit ribosomal RNA", at positions 524 to 776 of the family's 1533-position model. The record is from RNAcentral.